Molecule: ribosomal RNA, 468 nt
Filed under: uncultured bacterium
Lineage: Bacteria
Description: partial 16S ribosomal RNA
Rfam family: Bacterial small subunit ribosomal RNA
Source: RNAcentral
GACGAACGCUGGCGGCGUGCUUAACACAUGCAAGUCGAACGGAAAGGCCCUGCUUUUGUGGGGUGCUCGAGUGGCGCACGGGUGAGUAACACGUGAGUAACCUGCCCUUGACUUUGGGAUAACAUCAGGAAACUGGGGCUAAUACAGGAUAGGAUAUCCUGCUGCAUGGUGGGGGUUGGAAAGUUUCGGCGGUUUGGGAUGGACUCGCGGCUUAUCAGCUUGAUGGUGGGGUAGUUGCUUACCAAGGGUGCGACGGGUAGCCGGCCUGAGAGGGUGACCGGCCACAUGGCGACUACGGGACGGACCAGACUCCUACGUGAGGCAGCAGGGGGGAAUAUGGCACAGUGGGCCGAAGUGUGAUGCAACAACGCCGCGUGCGUGAUGACGGCUUUCGGGUUGUAAACCGCUGUCGCCUGUGACGAAGCGGUAUUGACGGUAAUGGGUAAAGAAGCAACGGCUAACUACGUG